GAGCUGUUCACCGUUUUAGAAAAGCACAUGACUGAUGGCAGCACUGCCCUGGCACCAAAGGAGCUGAUACACGGAAACACCGUGUCAGGGGCUGUGCAGCCACGCUAAUGCUACAUUUAGAUGCAAGAAUUUGACAGCUUCAUUACUGUGAUUGUCCCUGAGCACUUAUGUAAGGAAAGAGGCUGUUCUCCCCACCAGCUCCCAGGCCCACAGCAUCUGUGCCUGAGUUCCUCAGCAUUUGGAGAGGAGGUGGCCACUGGUUGUACUGACCCCAGACCGCUGUCAUAGGGCACCUCAUUUCCUCCUCACAACCACCCUGCCAGGCAGAUAUUGCUAUCACCAUUUAACAAGGAAAAGGAUGAGAUUCAGAGAGGCACAGUAACCACGCUUUCAGCUGCGAGGUACAGAACACUCAGCCACAAGUGGCUGAGACGGAAGCUUCCUGACACUAACGGGGAAAAGAAACAGUGGCCAGAGACUGUUUCCUGAAAAAUGUGCAGGAAGGGUAAUGCGGAGGCCAAGACAAAUGUGUGGGAUGAGCUCCAGCCGGGCCUCAAAACAGAAGCUGAUGACAAGUUGAUGCUUUUGUUUCUUCCACAUUUCCUUAUAGUUGGCAGGAAAAAAAAAAUUGAUUUGGAAGGAGGUAGGAAGGUCACUUCAUAGUUAGAAACAGAUCAGCACUUGACACUUUUCUACGUUUCCCAGAUGAGUUACUGUCACUCUGGGCAGCAACAAGCAAACUGUGUACUUUAACUCUCUUCUUUUUAUUAAAGGAAAUGGCAGAAAUAAUGAGGAAUAUAUUUUUCUGUACAAGAGGCAAACAAUAUAAAAAUCUACAGGGCAAAAUUCCUAAGUUCACACUCCAAUGAACUCCCCUUUCAGAGAUAAUCAGGAUCAGUCGUCUGAUGUAUAUUUUUACAGUUAUCUUUCUAUAUACUUACCUAUUUUGGAGCACACAGAUAUAUUUUAUUAUUUUAUUGUUUGUUUUUGGUGAUUUGGGUAUUUUUAAAUGUAAACUGUGAUGUCUGUAACUUACUUAUUUCAUUUCACAAUAUGGUUGUGUGAUCUUUUCAUAUUAGUACUUGUAGGUCCGCUUAGUUAUUUUUGUAUUAUUUUAAAGAAUUUAGUAAAUAUUGAGAAAGCCUUAAGAAAACACAAAAAGUCUAACACUAAAAUAUUUAUGGAUGAAAUUAUACGAUUCUGAGAUAUGCUUAUAAAUCAUCUGGCAAUGGAGAAGCAGCAGCUUGGGAUAUAAAUAUAACAGGGUUGGCUGUGCACUCAGCACGGUUGAAGGUGGGUAGACAGGGUGUGCUAUGUUAGUCUCUCCAUUUUGCAUACAUUUGAAAUUUUCCAUAGUAAAAUGUAAAAACAUAUAUGAGGCAUAAACUAUUGCAGUUUACCAAAUCUCUGAUUUUGCCAUAGCUCACAGGCUUCUGGGGCUCCUAGGAGGCCUUGUCACAUUCCACAUUUUUUCUGCAAGAGCUCAAAAGUUGCCUUCUCUGGAAGCUUCCGUGACUUCAGCAGAUGUAAGCUGCCUCUGCUUUACCCUUACUACACUUUUUAUGUAUACCCCCAACACACACAACACACUCACACUCACACAUUAAAGGAAUUAUCUUACUAAAUUGAGAUUUAGAGAAAUAGCUGUCAGUGGUUAAGCCCCUAAUCUGUAACAUACAUGAUAUCUACAUUAGUUUAUUUACUCCUCCAACGGCUCUGAGAGGUAAGAUCUUUUUGUCCUCAUUUAUAGGUAUGGAAACUGAGGCUUAAACAGAUUUUGAUUUGUCCCAGCCUAGUUCUUUCUUUUUUAUUCUCAAUCAAUGUUAUAUCAUUUUGUCAAUCACUAUUUUCAUCUAAGUGUAUGUGAAAAGUUAUCAGUAGAAAACUGAGAAGCAAGCACAAAUCUAACUAAGAAGGAACAUUGCCACUAUUAGAUGAAGGGUCCCUGAAAAAGAUGCGCUGAAGAGAGUGUCUGAGUCAUAGUCUGAAUUUAGCUUGCUUGGGAGUUUUACAAGACCCCUUCUGGGCAAGGCCAUGACAGAGUCUUAGGAAGCAUAGGGCUUACAGCUGGCAAGCCUGUAGCGUGGGCCCAGUGCUGGUUAACCAGUAGGAACAUGGUCAGUAGGAAGAGACUGCUCUGUAUUUUCUACUUCAAAGCUUACCUUCAGAUCUCAGGAAUGGGCAAAUCAGAAUACUUCUUAGGGGGCAGGGAGUAUCCUCAGCUGAUCCUGGCUGUAGGGUGUAGAGAGGAGGGAGAAACUUCAUUAGCACAGGAUCAGUGCUGGCCAAGGACAGAUAAGAAUCUGAGCCAGGCUUGCCUGGGAACUUUUUCCUCCAGGUAAAGACAUUAUGAUGACUGUAGAUAGCUUGGUGAUAACAGUCCUCACUGUGUCGGUCUCUGAAAUCGUACUACUUCCAUUUGAACUCAUUGCUCUCCACGUCAUAUGCACAUCCUCUUUGAGAUUCCCUUGACCUCUCUGUCUCCUGCGUUGGAUUCUCUGUUUCUGUAUCCCAGGUUUUCCCCUUUCUUGGUUCACUCUGUCAUUUUGGUGGAGCACAUCUUCAGUAGCCUCUUGGAUGCAUGGGAGGUGAGUUUUCAGACCUUGAAUCCCUGAAAAUGUCUCUAUUAAUUUACUCUAACAACUGAUUGAUAGUUCAGCUGAGUGUGAAAUUCUAGGAUGGUAAUAAUUUUCUCUCAGACCUUUAAAGGCAUUGAUUCAUUGUGCUCUGGCUUCCAGUGUUGCUGUUGAGAAUCUAAAGCCAGACUGACUCUUGAUCCAUUUAUUGUGACUUUUUUCUUUCUCUCUGGAAGUGUAUAAAAUCUUCUCCUUUUUCCAGGAAUUGUGAAAUUUCAUAAUUGUGUGUCUUGGUAUGAGUCUACUUUCAUCCGCUAUGUUAGAAACUUAGUGGGUCUUUUACUCUGUCACUUAAUGCUAGAAGUAAGUUACUUUCAAUUCUGGGAAAUCUUCCUGAAUUCUCCCCCAUUUUUUAUGUGCUCUCUUUCUGGAAUGCCUAUUCUUUGUUUCCUGAACUACGACUUAUUCUCUAAUUGUAAAAAAUUUUCUUUCCUUUCUUUGCCUUUGCCUUUUCAUUCUACUUUCUGCAAUAUCCCUUCAAUAUUAUCUUUCAACUCUUCUGUUAAGUUUUUCAUUUCAACCAUUAUAUAUUUUUUUUUAUUUCCAAGGGAUCUUUUUUGCUCUCUGAAUUUUUAAAAAUAGCAUGCAUAUUUUAUAGCAUUUUUCUCAAGUUCCAUGGAACCAGGUAGAAUGACAAUAGAGACCCUGAAUCAGAGGACAUAUGUGGUAACAGCCAGAGGGUUCAUGUUCUUAUUUUUUGAGAUCAUGAAGUCUAUUUCCUUCAAGGUAAUUUGCAGUCUUUUUCCUAGCAUGGAGCCUGCCAGCCUGCUUCUACCUGGAUCCUAUUUGCCACCUUGGAACAGAAGCUGUCUUGUCAAUGUGUGCAAUGAUUACAUUGGGCGAAGAUGGAGAAGCACAGAACAUUUAUCAACAUACACCAUAUGUUGGGCUAUAAAACAAGUCUUUUUUUUUUUUUUUUUCGAGGAAGAUUAGCCCUGAGCUAACAUCUGCCACCAAUCCUCCUCUUUUUGCUGAGGAAGACUGGCCCUGAGCUAACACCUGUGCCCAUCUUCCUCUAUGCUAUGUGGGAUGCCUACCACAGCAUGGCUUGACAAGUAGUGCAUAGGUCUGCACAUGGGAUCCGAGCCAGCUAACCCCAGGCCACCAAAGUGGGAAGUGUGCACUUAACCACUGUGCCACCGGGCCAGCCCCAAAACAAGUCUUAAUAAAUUUAAAAGAAUUGAAAUCACACAGAGUAUACCUUCUAUGUGACCCAAGUGGAAUUUAGGUAGCAAUAAAUGAUGGAAAGUUAUCCAGAAAAACCCUAAAUUUUUGGAAAUUAAACAACAUACUUCUGAAUAACCCAUAAAUCAAGUAAGAAAUCUCAAAGGAAAUUAGAAAAUAUUUUGAGCUGAAUGAUAACGAAAAUACAACAUAUCAGAAUUUGUGGGUUACAGCAAAAGCACUGGGAAAGUUAUACACUUAAACACUUAUAUUAGAAAAGAAGAAAUUUAUAAAAUCAAUUAUCUAAGUGUCAAUCUUAAAAAGAGAGAAAAAAGAAAAGCAAACUAAUUGCAAAAUAAGUAGAAGAAAUAAAAUAAUCAAAAUAAGAUUGGAAAUCAAUUAAAUAGAAAAAUAGAAAAUCAACAGUCAAAUCUUAUUCUUUGAAAAGAUUAAUAGAAUUGAUAAACUACUGAUAAGGCUGAUUAAGAAGAAAAAAAACCAGAAAAACCAGGAAGAAUAAAAACAGGGACGUCACUAUAGAUUUUAGAGACAUUAAAAAAACUGACAAGGAGGAUAUUAUGGACAAGCUUAUCCCAAGAAAAUCAACAACUUAGAUGAAUAUAUACUAUUUAUUGAAUAAGCUAACUUUUUUUCUGAAUGGCUUGAGAUAUCACCUUUAUUAUACACUAAUUCAUAUAUUUACAUGGAGGUGUGGGUUCGGAUGUUUCCACCUUCUAUUUUACAUUCCAUUAUUCCGUUUGCUCCAAGAGCAAGUAUUCUAGGGAACAAGUGGGAAGCUGCAUCACCUUUUCUGACCCAGCCUCAGAAGUCACACAGGGCCGCUUCUGCUGCGUUUCGUUGGUUAAAAGCAAAUUAUAAGCCCACCUGGGUUCAGCGGGAGUAUAUGUAGACUCCAUUUCUCAGGGGGAGGAGUGCCAAAGAAUUUGUAGCUAUUUAAAAAAAAAAUCUGUGCUGUCUUCAGUGGUAAUGCUUCAAUGUUUUUAUUAAGUAUAGUAUUUUCUGUAGAUUUUGGACAAAUAUCCUUUAUAGCUUUGAGGAUCUCUCAGGUUAGAAUUAUGAGCAAAUAGAAAGAAAUAGCAGUUGUCAUUUGUUUUUCUCACAGAUAAAUUAAUAUAUUAAUUCAUGAGGCAAAGUUUUCUGGGUUUUUUGGUGAGGAAGAUUGGCCCUAAGAUAACAUCUGUUGCCAAUCUUCCUCUUUUUGCUUGAGGAAGAUUGUCACUGAGCUAACAUCUAUGCCAAUCUUCCUCUAUUUUGUAUGUGGGACGCCGCCACAGCAUGGCUUGAUGAGCAAUGUGUAGGUCCACACCUAGGAUUCAGACCCGUGAGCCCCGGGCUGCAGAAGCAGAGCAUUCAACCUUAACUACUAUGCCACCAGGCCAGCCCCCAUGGAGCAAAGUUUUUAAAAAUAAACUUAUAUUGCCAGAUUUGUGAAAUCUGGCUACACAGAUGAAAUCUACUACACAAUACCAAAUACUAUUUAGAUUCUAAACUUUGGAUAUUAAAUCUUUGUCUAGAAUAUUUUACCACAUAAGUGGGAUGUUAUUCUUUAUGAAUUGUAAUUUGGCUGAUACUAUUUAGCAAUAUCCACCAUAUAUUGCAAAGAGGCUCAUAGAGAAGAGAAUGAUUUGUUUUGUAAAAUGUGAGAAAUUUCUUAUAGAACAACACAUUUAUUUUUCACACAAAGGAGACAUUUUUCCUCCAAUCGUGAAUCUAGACAAUGAUCAGCUAAAUACAUUUAAUUGCACUAAUACUGCAAAUCUUUCUAUAGAAUCCUUCUGAAUUAGAUUAUAUUAGACCACAUUGUGAGCUCUUUAAGCAAGACUAAGUGGUCUCCAUUCCUAAACCCACAUUUAUCACUUCAAAGAUGAGGAAAGGCUGAUCUGGAGCAUAAAGACCAAAGAGGAGAAUGGACAAGAACCAGAAUAUAAGCCCCAAUCUCUAGAACUGAGCUGAUUUAAGCCAUCUGCAGAAGACCUUGCUAGAACAGGGAUUGGUGCAGCUUCUCUGGGCCAAUCUUCCCGGCCGCACAAGUAGUAAUAAGAAGGGAACUCAACGGCUGCUCUAGAGGGAAAGCAGAGCUCUCCGCCAAAGAAGGAUAUUUACACAAUACAGCAUUAUUCAUGUACUUUUGGCCCCUAGAAAACAUAGCCCAAGUGGUGUUCUUAACCUUGGUACAUACCCAUGCUUGGGAAAGAUGUGGAGGGAUGGGGAGGUGAGGAGGUGGGGAGAAAUCUGGAGUGUAAAGAAGCUUGGGUUUCCAUUGGCACCCCUUUUUUCCUAGAGGGAUAUUGAGACCCAGUAACUGGGUUAAACUGAUGUUCCCAUCUCAGUUAACUCAUGAUGUAGGAAUAAUAAAUUUACAUAUCAAUGUGUGGGCUUAUCUUCAUGAACUCACCAUCCAAUAAAGGGGGGAAAAUGAUACUGUGAGGUUUUUUUUUUUUUUUCACCAUCAAGCAUUAAAAACUUAUCUUCUCUUUAACUGCUUUCCCCAGUGACAUCAAGUGAGUUAUAUGUGAAAUGGAUAUUUCUGAGUUUGCAGCAGUAGAAAAAGAAAGAAGUAGUAAUUGGACCAAAGGAGAGACAUUUAAAAACGGUAUCAAAAUAUGAGUACUGACGUCCCGUCCCCAAUCCUUUGUGACAACGCUUGGAAGUGGCAGCAAUACCAGGUUUCCAUUUAGCCACUUGCCAAAUUUACUGCCUUUUAAACAACUUUAGAUGUCAUUCUUAUUUUGAUAAACGCAGGGAUAGGGCUGGGAAAUGUCCGCCCGGCAUGUUAUAAUAUAUUCAGCUCAUAUACUGUUUAAACUCUAGGAAAUGUGAUCCCUGCAUACAUUCUGACUCUCCCUCUUCUUUGGGGGGUUUUACCCAUAUUUGAACAGUUCUUGAUAUACCUAUUGUCUGAUUGGGAAUUCUGCCUUCUAAUCUGGCUCAUUGAUUAACUUCUGAGUGGUUUGAGAUAAAUCCUGCUAAUUGCUUAGUUUGUUUUCUUGUUUGUGAAGCGCUAGAAUAAACCUCUUGUGAACGUGCCUGGGCCACAUUUUAGAAGUUGGUCACUCCUGUAACAGAUUUGGAAAUAUUGCAGUAAUUUCAGAACUGGAUAAAGAAAUGUAUCUUGAAAUAAAAAAGCACUUAAGCCUGUAGAAUGCACCCUAGCUCGGUAUGAAUUGCUUAUCAGGCAGUAUAUCAAAUCUAGGUUGGUUAGUCAGUAAGCUGGAAGCAAACAAAAUAAAUGGGAAUAAAGUGUUUAACAGAUGCUGGGUUUGAGCCCACGCCACAUGGUGGCAGGCUUACUCUAUGCUGGGCUUCCUCUUCAGGACGAAACACACACACACACACACACACAGAUGGGAAAUACAAAGUUCAUUAGGAAACAAAUCUUAAUGCUUGAUUUUAACUAUAUUAAACCACAUCUUUUAGGAAGCUGACUUUCAGAAAGGAGGCCAUAAGUUAUUAGUUUGUCAAGAUUAUAUUUUCUUAUCAAAAUGUUGUUUACAUUGUAUGGUACUUGAGAAGCAAUGAUUUGACCUUGUGAAGGACAUUCUACUUCUAGAUCUCAAUUUCUUCAUCGCUAAAAUGAUGAGUUUGGAUUACUCACGGUUCUAAAAUCAUCAUCCCUUUGUUAUAACUAAAAUAAGGCCUAAAUAUUCUUCUUCAGUAACACGAAUUUCAGUCACACUGUGGUUAACUUGAUAGGGAAUAUGGUUUCCGGGGUUAGAUUGCCUCGGUUUGAGUUCGAGCACUGCCAUUUAUUCACUGUGAGCUAUUAGGUGAGGAAGUUCGCCUAUCAAAAUUUCGCUUCCUCAUCUGUAAAGUGAUAUAAAUUAUAGUACAUAUCUUACGGAAUUGUUAGGAUUAAAUGGAAAAAAUAAUGUAUGUGUGGCAGAGACUGGCAAACUGUUCACGAAACCCUUUCUUUUUCUCCCUGGGCAAAUAGGUUAAACCACAUUUCCCAUCUCCACCUGCAGUUGGUUGAGGCCACGUGACUGAAUUCCGGCCAAUGGAACGUGAGCAGAAGAGAUGCGUGCUGCUUCCAGGCUCAGCUCACAAAAAUCUGCCAUUGUGGUCCCCCUUGUUUUUUCCCCUUCUGCGAGUUCCCCCUGGAAGCCACAUGUUAAGGAUGGUGAAACCACAAAGUGGAAGGAAACUUGGUCCCCGAAUCACAGCUUGAAGGAGAGAUUUAUGCCUGUUAGAAACACUCGCUUUGGACUUUACAUGAGUGAGAAGUAUACUUCUAUUUUGUUAAGCCAUGAGAUUCUUGGGUUUAUCUAUUAAGGCAGCUGGCAUUAACUAAAAUAUCAUGUAAAGCAUUCUGCAAAAUACCUGACAAAAUACCUGCUGAAUAAAUGUUAGUGUUAUUGGUAUCGUGACUCUUAAUAAUACAAACCUAGAGCCUAAAACUCCACAGCAAUAGUGUGGAGCUCCCUUCUGCAGUUUACAUGACUUGGCCUUUUUUUUUAGGCUACAGAAGGUCUAGGAAAUAAAGUUGUAUGUGGAAGUAGUAAUAACCAGAGUUAUUCAUAUGCGUAACUUGCAGAAAGUCAGUAUUUUGUAUUUAUAUUUUCUGCAUUUUUUCCCAAAAGAUUAACAGAAUAUAAAAGAAGGGAAGUCAAAUAAAAAAUUCAAGUUGCUGUCAUCUUUAAAAUAAUAUUUAAAAUUAUUUCUUCCUUGUGAUGACUUCAGUCUGUCUUAUGAGUCACUCGAUUUCUCUCACUAUUUCACUCGAUGCUCACCUUUCUUUCUUGAAAUUGUCUUCUUU
RNAcentral lists this long non-coding RNA (8577 nucleotides) under Equus asinus (donkey). Its description in RNAcentral is "lncRNA (ENSEASG00005029849.1)". The record is from RNAcentral. Lineage: Eukaryota; Metazoa; Chordata; Mammalia; Perissodactyla; Equidae.